This 109-nucleotide small nuclear RNA is filed under the name Castor canadensis (American beaver). The record is from RNAcentral. Lineage: Eukaryota; Metazoa; Chordata; Mammalia; Rodentia; Castoridae.
GUGCACACUUUGACAGCACACACACUAAACUGGAACAAACAGAAAAGACUAGCAUGCAUGGCCCCUGUGCCAGGAUGACAAGCAAAUUCAUGAAGAGUUCCAUAUUUGA